Molecule: long non-coding RNA, 318 nt
Organism: Cervus elaphus (red deer)
Lineage: Eukaryota; Metazoa; Chordata; Mammalia; Artiodactyla; Cervidae
Exons: 4
Source: RefSeq, a predicted model, not a curated record
ACCAGCUCCGGUGACUAUGGAACAUCUGAUCAACAGCCAGUCCAGACCGAGAUGUGCUGUCGGGACAAAAUGCCCACCAGAUCUCAAAGACUCAGUGCCUAAGAAAGGAAGUGCUGAUCCUCUGGACCCUUUGAAAGGACAGAACUGAAGAUGUGAAAAUACAGUCAAGACUCACAAAGCAAAGAACACCAUCAUUCACAAGGUAAUGCCAAGAAAAGAAAAGAAGAAAAGCCUUCAGCUUAUUGGUCAAAGGAUGUGUAUUAAGGACAUCUAAGUCAAGAUGACAGUACCCUGGGCUGUUGACAAAAUUAAAUGAAA